UAAGACGUAGGGGGCCAGCGUUGUUCGGAAUUACUGGGUGUAAAGGGUUCGUAGGCGGUGUGGCAAGUCGGGAGUGAAAUCUCUGGGCUCAACUCAGAGGCUGCUUCCGAAACUGCUGUGCUGGAGUGUGGGAGAGGCGCGUGGAAUUGCAGGUGUAGCGGUGAAAUGCGUAGAUAUCUGCAGGAACACCCGUGGCGAAAGCGGCGCGCUGGACCACUACUGACGCUGAGGAACGAAAGCUAGGGGAGCAAACAGGAUUAGAUACCCUGGUAGUCCUAGCCCUAAACGAUCAGGACUUGGGGUGCCGCCCGUUCGGGUGUCGUCCCGGAGCUAACGCGUUAAGUCCUGCACCUGGGGAGUACGGUCGCAAGACUGAAACUCAAAGGAAUUGACGGGGGCCCGCACAAGCGGUGGAACAUGUGGUUCAAUUCGACGCUACGCGAGGAACCUUACCUGGGCUCGAAAUGCUUCUGACCAGCUGUGGAAACACGGCCUUCCCGCAAGGGACAGGAGUAUAGGCGCUGCAUGGCUGUCGUCAGCCCGUGCCGUGAGGUGUUGGGUUAAGUCCCGCAACGAGCGCAACCCCUGCACGUAGUUGCCACCCGCAAGGGGGAACUCUACGUGGACUGCUCCGGAUAACGGAGAGGAAGGUGGGGAUGACGUCCAGUCCGCAUGGCCUUUAUGUCCAGGGCUACACACCUGUUACAAUGCAGGGCACAAACCGUUGCCAACCCGCCAGGGGGAGCUAAUCGGAAAAAACUCUGCUCAGUUCGGAUUGCAGUCUGCAACUCGACUGCAUGAAGCCGGAAUCGCUAGUAAUGGCGUAUCAGAUCGACGCCGUGAAUACGUUCCCGGGCCUUGUACACACCGCCCGUCACAUCACGAAAGUGAGCUGUACUAGAAGUCGCCGAGCUAACCGCAAGGAGGCAGGCGCCCAAGGUAUGACUCACGAUUGGGGUG
Molecule: ribosomal RNA, 960 nt
Filed under: uncultured bacterium
Lineage: Bacteria
Description: bacterial SSU rRNA
Rfam family: Bacterial small subunit ribosomal RNA
Source: RNAcentral